CACGUAGGGCGCAAGCGUUGUCCGGAAUUAUUGGGCGUAAAGAGCUCGUAGGCGGUCUGUUACGUCUGCUGUGAAAACCCGGGGCUUAACCCUGGGCUUGCAGUGGAUACGGGCAGACUAGAGGCAGGUAGGGGAGAAUGGAAUUCCCGGUGUAGCGGUGAAAUGCGUAGAUAUCGUAAGGAAGACCAGUGGCGAAGGCGGGUCUCUGGACAGUUCCUGACGCUGAGGCACGAAGGCCAGGGGAGCAAACGGG
This 253-nucleotide ribosomal RNA is filed under the name uncultured bacterium. RNAcentral's name for it is "partial 16S ribosomal RNA". It matches the Rfam family "Bacterial small subunit ribosomal RNA", at positions 524 to 776 of the family's 1533-position model. The record is from RNAcentral.